CAUCCUGCCCAGUGAACUAAGGUUUUAACGGCCGCGGUACCCUGACCGUGCAAAGGUAGCAUAAUCAUUUGCCUUUUAAUUGGAGGCUAGUAUGAAUGGACACACGAGAGGCCACUUGUCUCACUACUUAUUAUAUAAAUUAGAGUUCAGGUGAAGAUACCUGAAUAACACUAAAAGACAAGAAGACCCUAUUGAGUUUUACUGUUUAUUCCUUCCCCAGACCUAUAAUGCUAUAAGGUCUGGUAAAGAUACCAGUUUGGUUGGGGCAACCUGGGAUAAAACAACGCAUCCCCUAAUAUAAAGAAGCUCAUUCUAUCAACUUAUCCACAACUGUGAAUAGAAAAUAAUACUACCAUAGGGAUAACAGGCUAAUCUCCUUAGAGAGUCCAUAUUGACAAGGAGGAUUGGCACCUCGAUGUUGGCCUAGGGGAUCCCUCAAAUGCAGCAGUUUGAGAAGGUUGGUUUGUUCAACCAUUAAAGCCCUACGUGAUCUGAG
This 496-nucleotide ribosomal RNA is filed under the name Hesionidae sp. B ZW-2021. RNAcentral's name for it is "partial large subunit ribosomal RNA". It matches the Rfam family "Bacterial large subunit ribosomal RNA", at positions 1854 to 2609 of the family's 2925-position model. The record is from RNAcentral. Lineage: Eukaryota; Metazoa; Annelida; Polychaeta; Phyllodocida; Hesionidae.